UACAUAAGGUGCAAGCGUUAAUCGGAAUUACUGGGCGUAAAGCGUGCGCAGGCGGUUUUGUAAGACUGUCGUGAAAUCCCCGGGCUUAACCUGGGAAUGGCGAUGGUGACUGCAAGGCUAGAGUUUGGCAGAGGAGGGUAGAAUUCCACAUGUAGCAGUGAAAUGCGUAGAUAUGUGGAGGAACACCGAUGGCGAAGGCAACCCCCUAAAUCAAAACUGACGCUCAUGCACGAAAGCGUGGGAAGCAAACAGG
This 253-nucleotide ribosomal RNA is filed under the name uncultured prokaryote. RNAcentral describes it as "partial 16S ribosomal RNA". It matches the Rfam family "Bacterial small subunit ribosomal RNA", at positions 524 to 776 of the family's 1533-position model. The record is from RNAcentral.